GCCGUGAUCGUAUAGUGGUUAGUACUCUGCGUUGUGGCCGCAGCACCCCGGUUCGAAUCCGGGUCACAGCA
This 71-nucleotide transfer RNA is filed under the name Danio rerio (zebrafish). It matches the Rfam family "tRNA". From Rfam's summary of the family: Transfer RNA (tRNA) molecules are approximately 80 nucleotides in length. Their secondary structure includes four short double-helical elements and three loops (D, anti-codon, and T loops). The record is from Rfam by way of RNAcentral. Lineage: Eukaryota; Metazoa; Chordata; Actinopteri; Cypriniformes; Danionidae.